Molecule: long non-coding RNA, 5627 nt
Filed under: Sus scrofa (pig)
Lineage: Eukaryota; Metazoa; Chordata; Mammalia; Artiodactyla; Suidae
Description: lncRNA (ENSSSCG00015064266.1)
Source: RNAcentral
CACCUGGUUUUAAGUCUGGUGUCCAGGGCAGGUGGCCCAGGGAAAUAGCAUCCCCUUCAUGAGAUCAGACUGGCUUCUCCCUACCUUGCUGGGUAAGUGCCAAGGCCCUGCUCAGCCAUGGCAGCAUGUGACAUGCUGAGCCCAGUCUGCCCUAUGCUCACAGAGGGCAGCUCUUAACUAGAUGAGCCAAGCUCACAAUCUCAUCUCUCAGCUGCACUUGGCUUACAAACGGGCCUUCUCACAUCAGAGACAAAAGGCUCCCACCAGGGGCACUGGGCCAGCUGCUCUCAUUCUGAAAACAGAGAGGAAGGGUGUCUUUUCCAGCCCCAGCAAGGUAGGUAAGCACUCUGCUGGGAGACUUAGUAGAUCUGAGUGCCCAAGCAGCAGUAAGAGCUAACCACUGGGACUCAUAGCUGAGAUCACUCCAAGAGGGAAACCAAAUAGUCUAGAAGACUCAACUGUCAUGCGGCUCGAGGGAACAGGCCAAAGCCUACUUACAACAACCUGGGCAUUCACAUCCAAAAUAUAUGCAUAAUGUUAAUAAGUAACUAAAAGAAUUUGUGUGCUAUUAAACUUUUUGUCAUGCUCCUUUGGGUAAAAUCAAGAUCAGAGAGAGAAAUCUGAAUGGGCUUGAUAGAUACAGAUAGGAUCAGCCUGGGAUUUGGCAGAAUGUUGGUAAGAUCGGUUGCCUGCAAUGCACUGAAUAUGCUCAGUUAUGGAGUGGAACUGCCUUAUUUCAGAAUUACAUGAUGCUUGAGGGCUCACAAUUAUCUGAAAGAAAAAACCCCAGGAAUAAGAUGUCAACAACUUCAUUUUUGUAGCCCAUAUUGAUGACUGUGAAAAACUCUUUGGCAUCAAUAAAACUUGAGUGAUUGCCUUUUCCAAUUGUCCCAAAUGAGAAGCAGACCCAAACAGGCACAUUUCUGCCAAGGGAGAGUUCUCUUAAUUAUCCCUGAACCUCAUUUGCUAUAGGUUUAGUAAACAACCAGAGCCCUUCCUCUCUCUCCAUGGCUCCAUGUACACACACAUGCUCACGUGAACAUGCAUCUGCACACACUUGUAUAAAAUAAACGCCUAUGAAGAUAAACUAGUGGGGCCAGGCUGACUGGGGAAAAAAAUGACCAGUGGAUUUGCUAGGUAAAAAUAUGGGCAGUGCACAGGACAGAUAUAAGAUCUUUGCCAAAAGCUUUAUCACAUGGGGCCAGUUUGCUAAGAGGUCUUUCAGCCUUUGUGUUUGGAUAAAUGAGGGUUUAAAUUACUCAAAGUGACUUGCCUUCUAAAACCACACAGAAUUCUUCUUUUUGCAAAAAAACCUCAAGACUCCUAAAUCUCUAGAAGUAAAAAAGCCAUGUCCCUUGGGACUAAAAUAGAAAGAAAAGGAGGCAGCAGCCAAGAACAUUAUUUCCAUUGUACAGGGGACCGCCUCCCUGUUCACAUCCCUGUUGUGAUUUGUAAAGAGGGUUAAGGGUCCAGCUUACCCCACCAAGAUUAAAAACUUGAGGCUAAGAGGUGGCUGCCUGGAGCUGGGGCUGAGCAGGGCUAAGAAGAGCUUAUGUCCUUUCUGAACCAUGCCAAGGAUGCCAUUCCCUUGGUGCUGAAAUCCAAGGAGCCAAAGAUAAUUUUCCAAAAGACUGUAUUUUCUAAGGGCAGAAGGUGAGGGAACAAAUGAUGGUCCAUCUCCCUGAGGGUUUUGAAGAUUAUUAGAUUACCAUACAUUCUGACAUGAUGUAGUAUUUGGACUAAAGAGUAGAAGCCUGAAUCAAAAGCAAUUUUGUUGAGUUUGGAUGUUGGGGAAGCUAUUUCUCUUCUCCCAACCAGACUAUUUUCUUCUUGUAUUGAUUCAUUACAUCUCCAAGCCCUAACACUUUUACCAUAUGACUUCUAUUACUCUCUUUUUAUACCCAAAUCCCCUUAUUGGGAUCAACUGUUGGUCAAACAAGUCCAAGUACCAUGACAGGGACAAUCUCAGGCUGUGACCCCAAGCCAGUACUGGUCCUUUUCCCCAACAGCAUUCUUUUCUCCUCUGCUCUCACUCUCUCAUGGCAUUUGGCGUCAAAUGAACCCACGUAAGCUUCUGCCCCCCUUUUACUAAUACUGGGGGCUUAGGUAAGUAUGACUCUCAGAGCUUGUUUUCUCAUAUGUGAAAGAAAAUCCUCCAGUGAGGAUUAAAUGAUGUGGUCAAUGAGGUUAAUGAGAGAAUCAGAGUAGGACUCUCUGAAUCACACAAGCCCUUUAAAAGCAGAGCGUUUUCUCUGGCCUCAAGUGGCAUGUCAGCCUGCGAGCUCCAAGGGGCUCAUUUCAUUAAACUUCAACACAAAGCUUCACAGAAAAGGCUCAAGACAGGCCCCCCACUCCCUGUAAGGGAGUCAGCCAAGACCACUGGAUAGCCCUCUUUCCAAAUAAGUAAAAAUAUGGAACACGGUGGCAUACGUUUGUUUAAAAUCUGACCCUUUUUAAAAAAAGAUUGCCAUUGUUUUCUUAAAUUCACUUUCCUUCCUUUGCUUCCUGUACCUAAAGAAAGUUCACACUCGCAUACUCGAAACACAUCACUACACGGAAUGUGCAUGAGGUCAUCCCACGAGGACCUCUUGUGCAGGGGAAUUCCAAGUCACAGGCCAGGUCUCCACUAGAAGCCAUUGCCAAUCUUAACCACUGUCCAGCCCGCUAACAGGGAGACCAACCCCACCAUCUUCAGCAUGUGCACUGAAUGAUGGAGGAAGCUGUGCUGCAAGANGAAAAAGAGAAGAACAGAAGGAUCUGUCCACUGACGAGUCUUCCAGACAGUGAUUUCAAUGGUUCUGAAUUGUCUGAGAUAACAUUCGUCCUAUGUGUUUAUCUUUCCCUUACAGAUUUUUAAAUUCUAGUGAAUAAAUGGCUUUUAAAUGGUUUUCUGUAAAGAUAAACAAUUAACCUCCAGAAAGAGGAAAAGGCAUUAAUGAAUGCAAAUAACUAUAUUCCAUUUAUAAUUUUGGAUUGGAAGAAAGGCCAAGGAUACUUGUAUUUUUUUGUGUACUCAUAUCCCUUCCACUUAACAACAAAUUCUUCAACAUCUUUUUCCAUUUUCUCCUGCUACCUACUCAUAUUUGUGUUCAAAUGUCAUCUUUUUGGUGUAGAUGUUCUCUCCACUCCUCUCCCUCCCAAUAAGAAUCAGCUAUUCUCCAUUGAUGGCUUCAUUUACCACAGCUACAACAUUAUCCUCUAGUUAUCUCUGUAAAUCUGUAAAUCUGGAGUCACUCAAGUAGUUCAUAAAGACCUGUAAUGUUAAUAUCACAGGAUGGCUACUGGUCCUGGAAAGAAGAAAAAAUUAACAUUUGAAAAUUACAUGACAGAGAAAUUCUAGAUGCUGGGAGAGUGAGCUGGUCAUGGUAUAGCUUGAUCAAGGCAGUAUAUUGAAUGAAUCUUUCUCAAAAGAACAUAUCAAGUUAUUGGAAAGCAAGAAGCAGAUGAUCUGUUGGAUUAUAAGGAUGUGUGUAGGCUCCUCAGGUGGAUAAGUCACAUUCAUUCCUGCAUCACACGGGCCAGGGCUAACCGAACACUAACUUCUCAGUCUGGCGCACUUCGUGGAUGUUUGCAUGGUCCCUUCCAUGAAAGCAAAGCUACAGCCAGAAGGGGAAAAUUGCAAUUCCAAGAAGGAAUUUUCCUGAGAAGGAACUUGAUAGAGAAGUAGUUUCUCUGGGGCUGACUUUAAAAAUCUGCACCACAGUGGUCUCUUCACCCAUCCAACCAUCUGACAUUUAGCAAGCACCUACUGUAUGUUAGGGCAAUGCUAGGUUCUGGGAAUAGAGUGCAAAUUUCCCAAUUCUUGGUGCCUACACUCUUCUAAAGGAAGAAAUUGUGGUGCCUACAAUCUUCUAAAGAAGGUCUUGUUGAAAAAAGCUUUUUUUACAUCCAAGGAGGAAAGAACAAAGAAAACAAGUGAAACAUGAGAGAGAGAGAACCUCUGUGGGAAGUCUGAGUGUUCAUCAAAGGUAAAAGCAAAAGCCAGUCCUCCCAGAAAGCCCUGGGCAGGGUCCCUCUGGUGGUGGCCCCAGGGACUACAGCUGGAAAAUGAUUAUCCUGGGAUUUAACCCUGAGUGUUGCCCCAGUGCUCUGACCCAACAGGCAGAGCCAAGACCACUAAAGUAUGACAUUUGUAUACAAAGAGUCACCAUUGAGAGGCUAUCUAGGCAGGGAGAUGCCUUUGCUGGAAGCUUUUUUUCAGAAACACAGUUGGGAAAGAAUUCCUUGCCAGUGCUUGAGACACCCAAGCCAAAACAUUAACUUUACACAAAAUGAAUUUAUUAGGAAGCUGGGGGAAAGGGAGACAUUGGGGACACAUAAGAAAAGAAGGAGGAGCCAACUCUACUCUAUUUGGGGAGGAAAGAAUAGAGGUUUCAGAGAAGGAGUAAAUGUAUAGUUAAAGCUAGAAGAAUAAUAUGCAUCUGUCAUGUAAAACAGGAUGGGGUAAGAGAAAUCUUGGCAGAGAAAACUGUAUUAACAAAAACAUGGCAAGAUGAAGUGUGGCCAGAGCAUGGGCUUUGAGAAAAGACACUGUAAGAAAUAAGAUUGGAAAGAUGGAGAGGGCCAGACCUCAGGGGCCUUAUAGGACGUACUGGGAAGUUUGUAUUUCAUUAGAAAUUCAAACUGUUAAAGAGAAUGAUCUCAUACCCCCUACGGGUCUUAGGUCAUAGCCAAAAGGGAACCCUGUGCACAUGAUUUAUUUAAAAUAUCUUAAAAUAUUCCAAUUUUAUCUUCUACUUUAUAAUAAAUUGAUACUUGUUUUAACAUUUUUAAAUAGUUCUAAUCGUCAAGUAAAAUUGAUAACUCUGAGCAACAGACAACAUCUCUCAAGAAGUUUCAAGUGUCCUGGAACCCAAAAAAGUACCCCCCCCAGGAGGGGGGGUGUCCAUGUAACUCAGUUCGAGAAGAAUAGUUAUUUGGAAUUGGAAAUUUUCAAAGCAUUUUAAGAAUGGAAUGAUUUCAGUGAACUCAGAAUUUCUUUAAGAUGAGAGAACUUCAAUCAAAAGAUUUGGAGUUUGGAGGAGUAGGAAAAUACAAAAGGUGUCAAGGUGGGAGUGUCAGGUUGUGGCGACUGGUAGAAAAUGAGAGUGAAAGAGAAAAAUGGGCCAAUAAGAAGAUGUGGGAUUUGUCUUCAAGGCCCUUCACUUGGGUAAGGAAUGAAGGAGAAUCAAAACAAACACAAGGUGGGGGCAGAACAGGAGGUGCUUGGUGUCAGUCUUGACUGUGGACCAUCCAGUAGGAGAUGUUUGGGAAGACAAUAGAUCCGCUGUUCAGGAGCCAUCUGUGCUAAAGACAAUAUCUGGGAGCCAUUGACCUUGCAAGUGGCCAGAGGGAAAAUGUGGGGCGGAAAGGCCAAGGAGGAAAACCAAUCUAUCUGGGCCUCCAGAUGGGUUGGGAGUAUAGGCAUGGAUCGGAUGUUUUCCUUUCUCCUGCAGAAUCAGUUUAGCAUGGAAGUCAGGAUGGCCACUUACAGCAAUACCAAGCAGAGAAAUGAUCCGCAGUGGGCAAACUCAGGUUUGCCUAAAGCAUAGGAUCAAGUUAAGAAGUCGUGGAAAUUGAGAUUAGAAGAGAGAAGUCAAGGCCAGCUUGUGAACAACCAAGAAGUUUGAAAGGCAAAGGGAAAUGCC